RNAcentral lists this ribosomal RNA (327 nucleotides) under uncultured eukaryote. RNAcentral describes it as "partial 18S ribosomal RNA". It matches the Rfam family "Eukaryotic small subunit ribosomal RNA", at positions 1470 to 1796 of the family's 1831-position model. The record is from RNAcentral.
CCCUUAGAUGUUCUGGGCCGCACGCGCGCUACACUGAUUCAUGCAACGAGUUUUGUCCUUGGCUGAAAGGCCUGGGUAAUCUUUGAACGUGAAUCGUGCUGGGGAUAGAUGAUUGCAAUUAUUCAUCUUCAACGAGGAAUUCCUAGUAAACGCAAGUCAUCAGCUUGCAUUGAUUACGUCCCUGCCCUUUGUACACACCGCCCGUCGCACCUACCGAUUGAAUGGUCCGGUGAAAUCUUCGGAUCUGAGGGAUGUUGGAUUAAUUUCUGACGCCUUUUGGAAAAGUCGCUUAAACCUUAUCAUUUAGAGGAAGGUGAAGUCGUAACA